GACGAACGCUGGCGGCGUGCCUAAUACAUGCAAGUCGAACGCUUUUUCUUUCACCGGAGCUUGCUCCAUCGAAAGAAAAAGAGUGGCGAACGGGUGAGUAACACGUGGGUAACCUGCCCAUCAGAAGGGGAUAACACUUGGAAACAGGUGCUAAUACCGUAUAACACUAUUUUCCGCAUGGAAGAAAGUUGAAAGGCGCUUUUGCGUCACUGAUGGAUGGACCCGCGGUGCAUUAGCUAGUUGGUGAGGUAACGGCUCACCAAGGCAACGAUGCAUAGCCGACCUGAGAGGGUGAUCGGCCACACUGGGACUGAGACACGGCCCAGACACCUACGGGUGGCAG
This 343-nucleotide ribosomal RNA is filed under the name uncultured Bacillota bacterium. RNAcentral describes it as "bacterial SSU rRNA". It matches the Rfam family "Bacterial small subunit ribosomal RNA", at positions 28 to 351 of the family's 1533-position model. The record is from RNAcentral. Lineage: Bacteria; Bacillati; Bacillota.